GAUGGUUGUGCUCUGAGGAAAUACGCACAGAAUGUCAUUUCAUCAGGCCAUAGCUGUCCA
This 60-nucleotide microRNA precursor is filed under the name Caenorhabditis elegans. RNAcentral's name for it is "Cel-Mir-77_pre stem-loop". It matches the Rfam family "mir-77 microRNA precursor family", at positions 24 to 83 of the family's 89-position model. The record is from RNAcentral. Lineage: Eukaryota; Metazoa; Nematoda; Chromadorea; Rhabditida; Rhabditidae.